AGACUGGUCAAUGAUUACAAUGCACUGUAAAACCUGUAGAAGGAAAGAAGAAUGUUUUGUGGAUCAUUUGGCUUUUUUGUGUGUAGCCGUUUUAAGUUAUUAGUUUUUAAAAUCAGU
RNAcentral lists this microRNA precursor (117 nucleotides) under Pteropus vampyrus (large flying fox). RNAcentral's name for it is "miRNA (ENSPVAG00000026206.1)". Lineage: Eukaryota; Metazoa; Chordata; Mammalia; Chiroptera; Pteropodidae. The record is from RNAcentral.